UAGGGAAUCUUCCACAAUGGACGCAAGUCUGAUGGAGCAACGCCGCGUGAGUGAAGAAGGUUUUCGGAUCGUAAAGCUCUGUUGUUGGUGAAGAAGGAUAGAGGCAGUAACUGGUCUUUAUUUGACGGUAAUCAACCAGAAAGUCACGGCUAACUACGUGCCAGCAGCCGCGGUAAUACGUAGGUGGCAAGCGUUGUCCGGCUUUAUUGGGCGUAAAGCGAGCGCAGGCGGAAUGAUAAGUCUGAUGUGAAAGCCCACGGCUCAACCGUGGAACUGCAUCGGAAACUGUCAUUCUUGAGUGCAGAAGAGGAGAGUGGAAUUCCAUGUGUAGCGGUGGAAUGCGUAGAUAUAUGGAAGAACACCAGUGGCGAAGGCGGCUCUCUGGUCUGCAACUGACGCUGAGGCUCGAAAGCAUGGGUAGCGAACAGG
This 429-nucleotide ribosomal RNA is filed under the name bacterium. RNAcentral's name for it is "partial 16S ribosomal RNA". It matches the Rfam family "Bacterial small subunit ribosomal RNA", at positions 355 to 776 of the family's 1533-position model. The record is from RNAcentral.